This 497-nucleotide ribosomal RNA is filed under the name uncultured bacterium. RNAcentral's name for it is "partial 16S ribosomal RNA". It matches the Rfam family "Bacterial small subunit ribosomal RNA", at positions 28 to 507 of the family's 1533-position model. The record is from RNAcentral.
GAUGAACGCUGGCGGCGUGCCUAAUACAUGCAAGUCGAGCGAACGGACGAGAAGCUUGCUUCUCUGAUGUUAGCGGCGGACGGGUGAGUAACACGUGGAUAACCUACCUAUAAGACUGGGAUAACUUCGGGAAACCGGAGCUAAUACCGGAUAAUAUUUUGAACCGCAUGGUUCAAAAGUGAAAGACGGUCUUGCUGUCACUUAUAGAUGGAUCCGCGCUGCAUUAGCUAGUUGGUAAGGUAACGGCUUACCAAGGCAACGAUGCAGAGCUGACCGGAGAGGAUGAUGCGCAACACUGGAACUGAGACACGGUCCACACUCCUACGGGAGGCACCAGUGGGGAAUAUUGGACAAUGGGCGCAAGCCUUAUCCAUCCAUACCGCGUGGGUGAAGAAGACCUUCGGGUUGUAAAGACCUUUUGUUGGGAAAGAAAAGCAGCAGGUUAAAACCCCGCUGUUCUGACGGUACCCAAAGAAUAAGCACCGGCUAACUUCGUG